This 1437-nucleotide ribosomal RNA is filed under the name uncultured organism. Its description in RNAcentral is "SSU rRNA". It matches the Rfam family "Bacterial small subunit ribosomal RNA". The record is from RNAcentral.
CUACAGGCUUAACACAUGCAAGUCGAGGGGCAUCAGGAAGAAAGCUUGCUUUCUUUGCUGGCGACCGGCGCACGGGUGAGUAACACGUAUCCAACCUGCCCUUUACUCGGGGAUAGCCUUUCGAAAGAAAGAUUAAUACCCGAUGGCAUAAUGAUUCCGCAUGGUUUCAUUAUUAAAGGAUUCCGGUAAAGGAUGGGGAUGCGUUCCAUUAGGUUGUUGGUGAGGUAACGGCUCACCAAGCCUUCGAUGGAUAGGGGUUCUGAGAGGAAGGUCCCCCACAUUGGAACUGAGACACGGUCCAAACUCCUACGGGAGGCAGCAGUGAGGAAUAUUGGUCAAUGGGCGCUAGCCUGAACCAGCCAAGUAGCGUGAAGGAUGAAGGCUCUAUGGGUCGUAAACUUCUUUUAUAUAAGAAUAAAGUGCAGUAUGUAUACUGUUUUGUAUGUAUUAUAUGAAUAAGGAUCGGCUAACUCCGUGCCAGCAGCCGCGGUAAUACGGAGGAUCCGAGCGUUAUCCGGAUUUAUUGGGUUUAAAGGGAGCGUAGGUGGACUGGUAAGUCAGUUGUGAAAGUUUGCGGCUCAACCGUAAAAUUGCAGUUGAUACUGUCAGUCUUGAGUACAGUAGAGGUGGGCGGAAUUCGUGGUGUAGCGGUGAAAUGCUUAGAUAUCACGAAGAACUCCGAUUGCGAAGGCAGCUCACUGGACUGCAACUGACACUGAUGCUCGAAAGUGUGGGUAUCAAACAGGAUUAGAUACCCUGGUAGUCCACACAGUAAACGAUGAAUACUCGCUGUUUGCGAUAUACAGUAAGCGGCCAAGCGAAAGCAUUAAGUAUUCCACCUGGGGAGUACGCCGGCAACGGUGAAACUCAAAGGAAUUGACGGGGGCCCGCACAAGCGGAGGAACAUGUGGUUUAAUUCGAUGAUACGCGAGGAACCUUACCCGGGCUUAAAUUGCAGUGGAAUGAUGUGGAAACAUGUCAGUGAGCAAUCACCGCUGUGAAGGUGCUGCAUGGUUGUCGUCAGCUCGUGCCGUGAGGUGUCGGCUUAAGCGCCAUAACGAGCGCAACCCUUAUCUUUAGUUACUAACAGGUUAUGCUGAGGACUCUAGAGAGACUGCCGUCGUAAGAUGUGAGGAAGGUGGGGAUGACGUCAAAUCAGCACGGCCCUUACGUCCGGGGCUACACACGUGUUACAAUGGGGGGUACAGAAGGCAGCUAGCGGGUGACCGUAUGCUAAUCCCAAAAGCCUCUCUCAGUUCGGAUCGAAGUCUGCAACCCGACUUCGUGAAGCUGGAUUCGCUAGUAAUCGCGCAUCAGCCACGGCGCGGUGAAUACGUUCCCGGGCCUUGUACACACCGCCCGUCAAGCCAUGGGAGCCGGGGGUACCUGAAGUACGUAACCGCAAGGAUCGUCCUAGGGUAAAACUGGUGACUGGGG